Molecule: long non-coding RNA, 480 nt
Filed under: Monodelphis domestica (gray short-tailed opossum)
Lineage: Eukaryota; Metazoa; Chordata; Mammalia; Didelphimorphia; Didelphidae
Description: lncRNA (ENSMODG00000042733.1)
Source: RNAcentral
AUCUAUCAAUUUGCUAAAGCUAUCAAGGAAACUUAAAACUUACAAGGAAGUGGUGAAAGGAAAAUAUGUGUCCAAUUUACCCAGAGAUAAUUUGGUGGUGAUGUGAAGAAUGAAUUCAAGACUUGAGUUGAAGACCCAAUUUAUUGUGAUAAUCCAGCUUGUCAGAACACAGAGAUACAUAGCAAACAAAAUUCAUAAUGAUGGCAGCCAUGACUUUGGGAGCAUAAUAAUGGUCAUCAUGAACUUGGGAGCAUUCCAAAAGUGCAUGUGUGCUAGGUGUAAAGGACAAAAGGAGAACAAUUUAAUAGUUCCUGACUUCAUGGAGUUCUAUGAAGAAAGGAAGAUGAGAUACCCAGAUCCUGUGAGUUUCUAACAACACAAGAUUCAGGAAAUAUUUAAUGUAAAAUGUGGCACUAGAAUUGUGUUUCAAGGUUUAAAAAUUGUUUUAAUAACUUUUACACCCCUUUAUUUCCAAAUAUG